GUCUGGAUAGCUCAGUUGGUAGAGCAAAGGACUGAAAAUCCUUGUGUCGGCGGUUCAAGUCCGCCUCUAGACA
Molecule: transfer RNA, 73 nt
Filed under: Telonemida sp.
Lineage: Eukaryota; Telonemia; Telonemida
Also listed under: 1 other name
Description: tRNA-Phe
Rfam family: tRNA
About the family: Transfer RNA (tRNA) molecules are approximately 80 nucleotides in length. Their secondary structure includes four short double-helical elements and three loops (D, anti-codon, and T loops).
Source: RNAcentral